Molecule: microRNA precursor, 60 nt
Filed under: Monopterus albus (swamp eel)
Lineage: Eukaryota; Metazoa; Chordata; Actinopteri; Synbranchiformes; Synbranchidae
Description: Mal-Mir-26-P1b_pre stem-loop
Source: RNAcentral
UUCAAGUAAUCCAGGAUAGGCUGUGUGUAUUCUGUUGGCCUAUUCAUGAUUACUUGCACU